This 373-nucleotide ribosomal RNA is filed under the name uncultured bacterium. RNAcentral describes it as "bacterial SSU rRNA". It matches the Rfam family "Bacterial small subunit ribosomal RNA", at positions 525 to 896 of the family's 1533-position model. The record is from RNAcentral.
ACGGGGGGUGCAAGCGUUGUUCGGAAUUAUUGGGCGUAAAGAGCGUGUAGGCGGCCUGAUGUGUCAGAUGUGAAAGCCCUGGGCUUAACCCAGGAAGUGCAUUUGAAACUGUCAGGCUUGAGUAGGGGAGAGGGAAGUGGAAUUCCUGGUGUAGAGGUGAAAUUCGUAGAUAUCAGGAGGAACACCGGUGGCGAAGGCGACUUCCUGGCCCUAUACUGACGCUGAGACGCGAGAGCGUGGGUAGCAAACAGGAUUAGAUACCCUGGUAGUCCACGCCGUAAACGAUGUUCACUAGGUGUUGGGGGUAUUGACCCCCUCAGUGCCGGAGCUAACGCAUUAAGUGAACCGCCUGGGGAGUACGGUCGCAAGACUA